Molecule: long non-coding RNA, 1718 nt
Organism: Tachysurus fulvidraco (yellow catfish)
Lineage: Eukaryota; Metazoa; Chordata; Actinopteri; Siluriformes; Bagridae
Exons: 3
Source: RefSeq, a predicted model, not a curated record
GGAAGCAGAGGUGGAGGGAUGGGAACAACAUCCAUGGCUGUUACUUCCUGGCUAUUGGCACUUCUAGGCAGUUUUCCAUGAAAAGCUUGAGCCUCUGUGGGAUCCACGUGGAGGUGAAGUUGAUCCGAGCUAUGAAGCAAGGAGUCCACAAGACCUCAAAUGCUAAUGUUUGGAAUACGAGGCUGAGCAGGCUUAAGGUGACGUUGACGCCUUUUUCCUGCAACUUCCUCUUGAGGCUUUUCCAGGGCUGCCAUCGGUCAACUGUUUCCGCUUCUCAUGGGUACAUACUGUAGGAGCAGCUUGUACUGAGCAAAACACACACACACUUGCGCACACACAUACAUACAUCAAUACUAACUUCUGAAUAUCAGUAAACAAGGGCAUAAAGAUUCUAUGCAACAUGCAACAUAAUUAUUUACAUUUCAAGACAAAUUUGGAAUAGACGUCAGAAUAGGUCAGAGUUUAUUACAUGCCAUAGAAUAUGGGCAAUGCCUGAAUUAGUGUUGGUACAUCUGGCCUGUUUCCUCUAAUUACAUUAAUACAAACUAAUGUAAACCGGAUAACCUGAAAGGAAAUGAGAAGAGCAAUUUCUUGGCCCUGUACAGGACCAGCAGUUUCGCAAAACACAGAGAACUGCAAAAAAGGGCACUAAAAAGGGAUGGGCCAAUGUGAUUUAUUCUUAUGGAAGAGAAUGUGAAAGGCAGGAUGGCUUUUCAUCAGCAAAUGAGGGACAACAUGGGUGGACUUGAGUCAAAUAUGUUGCAACUGCUGCUGGCAUAACACCUGAAAUCUUGAGACUUUACAUUAGAUUAGUUCUUAGCAUUUUCUAUUUGUCUAAGAAAACUAAGCCUUUACUUAACAAUUAUGCAUGUACUGUAUUUAAUAUAUAAUUAUAAGGUGUGGAAGAUUAACGUUCACACCUCUGUGGUAAUGAAAUUAUACUAAUUUAAUGUUCAGACACACUCAUGAAAAAAAAAACAUUUGGGUGACACAAAAACUAAAGAUUUUUCUUAUGAUUAUGGAAAAAUGUCCAGCAAUGUACUGUGUAUGUGAUACUAGAAAUGAUACUAGAAUUUUUUCAUAAUAGGUUUGACAAUGCAUGAAAUAUGCACACACACACACACACACACACACACACACACACACACACACACACACACACACACACAAACACACACACACUCACAAUAGGGAAUGACCUUUUAAUCCUAUUGACUCCACUGCAGGUAUCCUGUCCUGUAUGGCUUUCUGGACGUCACAGCUCAAAAACAGAUCCAAAUGAGAAAUGGCAAAACCGAGAUUAGUGGGAGUUUCCACCUGGAAAACAAGGAAACUCUGAACUACAAUAACAAUCCUUCAAUAAUGAACACAUCACAUUAUAUUACAAAUAUAUUAGUGUGAACAUGCAUGGGUUUGUGAUUUAAGGAGAAAUGUGAAACAUCUGUUUGUUAUUGAUUUAUGUAUGAGCUCAUUUAAAUAUCAGGUCAUCUUUUUGACUAACCCAGAGCAAAUUUUUAUUAACUGUUAUUUAGUCAUCAUGUUUCUUUAAGGCCACAUUUUGUAAUAGUACUGUAACUGUAAGGAUCCUAUAACUGUAACUUAAUGUUCCUAAUAAAGUGCUAAGUGAGAGUACAUAACAAUAUUUCUACACCUUGAAUCAUAAAAUGGCCGAUCACCUGGAGAUACAUUACAGUUAACGGUGGACCUUCAUUCGUUUG